GUGCCAGCAGCCGCGGUAAUACAGAGGUCCCAAGCGUUGUUCGGAUUCACUGGGCGUAAAGGGUGCGUAGGCGGUUGGAUAAGUCUGACGUGAAAUCUUCGAGCUCAACUCGGAAACUGCAUCGGAAACUAUCCAGCUAGAGGAUUGGAGGGGAGACUGGAAUUCUCGGUGUAGCAGUGAAAUGCGUAGAUAUCGAGAGGAACACCAGUGGCGAAGGCGAGUCUCUGGACAAUUCCUGACGCUGAGGCACGAAAGCUAGGGGAGCAAACAGGAUUAGAAACCCGUGUAGUCC
RNAcentral lists this ribosomal RNA (292 nucleotides) under uncultured bacterium. RNAcentral's name for it is "partial 16S ribosomal RNA". It matches the Rfam family "Bacterial small subunit ribosomal RNA", at positions 505 to 796 of the family's 1533-position model. The record is from RNAcentral.